UACGUAGGGGGCAAGCGUUGUCCGGAAUCAUUGGGCGUAAAGAGCGUGUAGGCGGCUCGGUAAGUCCGCUCUGAAAGCCCGGGGCUCAACCCCGGGAGGCGGGCGGAUACUGUCGGGCUAGAGUCCGGAAGAGGCGAGUGGAAUUCCUGGUGUAGCGGUGAAAUGCGCAGAUAUCAGGAGGAACACCGAUGGCGAAGGCAGAUCUCUGGGCCGUAACUGACGCUGAGGAGCGAAAGCGUGGGGAGCGAACAGG
This 253-nucleotide ribosomal RNA is filed under the name uncultured bacterium. Its description in RNAcentral is "partial 16S ribosomal RNA". It matches the Rfam family "Bacterial small subunit ribosomal RNA", at positions 524 to 776 of the family's 1533-position model. The record is from RNAcentral.